CAAGGAUUCCCCUAGUAACUGCGAGUGAAGCGGGAAAAGCUCAAAUUUAAAAUCUGGCGGUCUUUUGGCUGUCCGAGUUGUAAUCUAGAGAAGUGUUAUCCGCGCUGGACCGUGUACAAGUCUCCUGGAAUGGAGCAUCAUAGAGGGUGAGAAUCCCGUCUUUGACAUGGACUGCCAGGGCUUUGUGAUGCGCUCUCAAAGAGUCGAGUUGUUUGGGAAUGCAGCUCAAAAUGGGUGGUAAAUUCCAUCUAAAGCUAAAUAUUGGCGAGAGACCGAUAGCGAACAAGUACCGUGAGGGAAAGAUGAAAAGAACUUUGGAAAGAGAGUUAAACAGUACGUGAAAUUGCUGAAAGGGAAACGCUUGAAGUCAGUCGCGUCGUCCAGGGAUCAACCUUGCUUUUGCUUGGUGCACUUUCUGGUUCGAUGGGUCAGCAUCAAUUUUGACUGUUGGAAAAAGGUUGAGGGAAUGUGGCAUCUUUGGAUGUGUUUAUAGCCCUUGGUCACAUACAAUGGUUGGGAUUGAGGAACUCAGCACGCCGCAAGGCCGGGUUUUAAACCACGUACGUGCUUAGGAUGCUGGCAAUAUGGCUUUAAUCGACCCGUCUUGAAACACGGACCAAGGAGUCUAACAUGCCUGCGAGUGUUUGGGUGGAAAACCCGAGCGCGUAAUGAAAGUGAAAAGUUGAGAUCCCUGUCGUGGGGAGCAUCGACGCCCGGACCAGACCUUUUGUGACGGUUCCGCGGUAGAGCAUGUAUGUUGGGACCCGAAAGAUGGUGAACUAUGCCUGAAUAGGGUGAAUCCAGAGGAAACUCUGGUGGAGGCUCGUAGCGAUUCUGACGUGCAAAUCGAUCGUCAAAUUUGGGUAUAGGGGC
RNAcentral lists this ribosomal RNA (873 nucleotides) under Cortinarius armeniacus. RNAcentral describes it as "eukaryotic LSU rRNA". It matches the Rfam family "Eukaryotic large subunit ribosomal RNA", at positions 69 to 924 of the family's 3401-position model. The record is from RNAcentral. Lineage: Eukaryota; Fungi; Basidiomycota; Agaricomycetes; Agaricales; Cortinariaceae.